GGCAUGCUGGGCGAGCAGCGGGUUCCGCGCGGACGGUUUGAAAUUGGGCUCCAACGGUAGCGGCGCGAAGCCCGGCUGGCCGGCGGCCCGCGGUGACCGAGCCCAGCCAUCCGCCGCUCCCUCAGAAGCUCUCCCGGUUUGCUUCGACAGUACCACCCGGACGCUGGGGGCUCACAAUUUCGCGUACCCGACCCACUAUUUUACAGGAGAAACUAUACACAACCUAUGAAAGCAGAAGCAAGCUGUCAGGGGCUGUACUGUGGAGCACUGUGUUUGGAUAAGAACCUUUGGGGUUCCAUGGAAUUGACUGCUGCAGUUGCAAAUGGAGAUACUCAAGAGCUCCCACCUGUACAGAUCCCAAUAGCUGAGGAAAAAUCAUUGGAAGAAUAAAAUCUCUGUCAGUUCAUUUGACACUUAGUCUCCAGUUGAGAUACUGGCACCUCAUGAUCUAAAGGAUAGUUUUUGAGCCAACACUUGUAUAUUAGAUGGCAUUACUGCCCUGCUGAUGUUCCAGACAGUUGUGUCCCAGCCCAUAUGGAGGGUUUGAUGACGUGAAUUCCCCAGAGGAUUUGGGUGAGGACUUUCAUGGGACUGCCUGUAAAUAAAACCAUGUUCGCAUUGAAAUGCACAGACCAUUGGUAAGCCUACAAAGAAAUUGGCUGAAAUUUAAGAAUUUGGAACACCAUUUUCUACUUUAGGAGUUAGUUCCUAUGAGGAUUUUGAAACCAUUUUUCUGUGUGGUAGUAGUGGCCAGAUCCAUGUAAAUGCUAAAGAACCCAACUAUGCUGUUUAUAGCUUCCAGGCAGAAUCCAUCCAUCUUAUGAACUCCGUAGUGAAGGUUCAAACUUCAUGGCAUGGAAGCUCAGGCUAUUAAAUUUGCCCUGAAUUUAAGUGAUGCCACAAUACUCCAGAAUUGUUUUUCAGCUUAAUAGCAUGUUGACAUCCUUCUCUGAGGAAGUUGUUGUGGUUCAGUAUAUUGUGACUUUGCUGUCUUAAUUCAGGAAUAUAACAUUUAUGCCUUCAUGACUGUUACUUCAAGAUUGCCCUCUCUACUGCCCAUCAACUAGUUAGCCCAAAUUGCUGUAAUUCAUAAAGACAUGGGAUGAUCUGAAGCAAGCCAAACUGAGCUAGGUUUGUUGAAGAUCUUCAUAGCAUCUCUGCUGUAAAGGAGCAGCCAUUUGUUAACAUGACAGAAGCCAUUAAGAGAUUGGGCAGGUAUAGGCAUACUGAAAGCAGGCAGUAAGGAUAUCUGAACAGUAGGCAAGGUUUCUAUUACUAAUUGGAGGUAUACUUUUUUGGGCUAUAGAAUUACUUCAGUUGUUUCUGGUGUUUAUGGUUUGUAUUUAAAUCAACGCUCAGUUGAUAAACAAUAGAUAGGGUGUUAACCUGGGAACUGUGCCAAUGGAAGAAUCAUAAAAUGAGAUCUGUGAAAGCAUUGCCUUUCAAUUUCCUGACCUAUUACUGACUAUGCCUUGGUACUGUUUGGUGGGCAGCUACAACAUUGUGAACAAGCAUAUAAGAAUAAUCAAAAAUAAUAACUAAUUAGGAUGGGUUGUGAAGUUGUGGUUCACUCGUAGAUUGUAGAGUGCUGCCAUUGAAGUCUUGAGCUUUCAUACAUUCAUUUUGCAGACAACUUGUGUGCUACCUAAAUAUUGUCAACAAUGUGGAUGCGUGCAGCAAUCAAUGGAGUUGUUUUGCCAUUAAUUAAUUAAACCUUCUCAGUCUUUCAGGAUAAUAGACAAUAGAUGCAGAAGUAGACCAUUCGGCCCUUCGAGCCUGCACCGCCAUUUUGAGAUCAUGGCUGAUCAAAUACUAUCAAUACCCGGUUCCUGCCUUGUCCACAUAUCCCUUGAUUCCCCUAUCCAUAAGAUACCUAUCUAGCUCCUUGGAAGCAUCCAGAGAAUUGGCCUCCACUACCUUCCGAGGCAGUGCAUUCUGGGAGAAGAAGUUUUUCCUUAACUCUGUCCUAAAUGACCUACCCCUUAUUCUCAAACCAUGCCCUCUGGUACUGGAUUCUCCCAGCAUCUGGAACAUAUUUCCUGCCUCUAUCUUGUCCAAUCCCUUAAUAAUCUUAUAUGUUUCAAUCAGAUCCCCUCUCAAUCUCCUUAAUUCCAGUGUGUACAAGCCCAGUCUCUCUAACCUCUCUGCGUAAGACAGUCCAGACAUCCCAGGAAUUAACCUCAUGAAUCUACGCUGCAUUUCCUCUACAGCCAGGAUGUCCUUCCUUAACCCUGGACACAAUUCUCCAGGUGUGGUCUCACCAGGGCUCUGUACAAAUGCAAGAGGAUUUCCUUGCUCUUGUACUCAAUUCCCUUUGUAAUAAAGGCCAACAUUCCAUUAGCCUUCUUCACUGCCUGCUGCACUUGCUCAUUCACCUUCAGUGACUGAUGAACAAGGACUCCUAGAUCUCUUUGUAUUUCUCCCUUACCUAACUCUACACCGUUCAGAUAAUCUGCCUUCCUGCCUCCCAAAGUGGAUAACCUCACACUUAUUCACAUUAACUGCCAUCUGCCAAGUAUCUGCCCACUCACCCAGCCUAUCCAAGUCGCCCUGAAUUCUCCUAACAUCCUCAUCACAAGUCACACUGCCACCCAGCGUAGUAUCAUCAGCAAAUUUGCUGAUGUUAUUUUUUAUGCCUUCAUCCAAAUCAUUAACGUAAAUGGUAAACAGCUGUGGUCCCAAUACCGAGCCCUGUGGCACCCCACUAGUCACCACCUGUCAUUCCGAGAAACACCCAUUCACCGCUACCCUUUGCUUUUUAUCUGCCAACCAGUUUUCUAUCCAUGUCAAUGCCUUCCCCCCGAUGCCCUGAGCUUUGAUUUUACCCACCAAUCUUCUAUGUGGGACCUUAUCAAAUGCCUUCUGAAAAUCGAGGUACACUACAUCCGCUGGAUCUCCCCCGUCUAACUUCCUGGUGACAUCCUCGAAAAACUCCAACAGAUUAGUCAAGCAUGAUUUACCCUUGGUAAAUCCAUGCUUGCUCAGCCCAAUCCUAUCACUGCUAUCUAAAUAUGCCACUAUUUCGUCCUUAAUAAUGGACUCUAGCAUCUUUCCCACCACCGAUGUCAGACUGACGGGUCGAUAGUUCUCUGUUUUCUCCCUCCCUCCUUUUUUAAAAAGUGAGAUAUUAGCCAUUCUUCAAUCCUCAGGAACUGAUCCUGAAUCUAAGGAACAUUGGAAAAUGAUUACCAAUCCAUCUGCAAUUUCCAGGGCCACCUCCUUUAGUACCCUAGGGUGCAGACCGUCUGGACCUGGGGAUUUGUCAGCCUUCAGUCCCAUCAGUCUUCUCAUCACUGUUUCCUUCCGAAUGUCAAUCUGUUUCAUUUCCUCUGUUACCCUAUGUCCUUGGCCCAUCCAUACAUCUGGGAGAUUGCUUGUGUCUUCCUUAGUGAAAACAGAUCUAAAGUACUCAUUAAAUUCUUUUGCCAUUUCUCGGUUUCCCAUAAUAAUUUCACCCAAUUCAUUCUUCAAGGGCCCAACAUUGUUCUUAACUAUCUUCUUUCUCUUCACAUACCUAAAAAAGCUUUUGCUAUCUUCCUCUAUAUUCCUGGCUAGCUUGCGUUCAUACCUCAUUUUUUCUCGCCGUAUUGUCUUUUUAGUUAAGUUCUGUUGUUCCUUAAAAACUUCCCAAUCAUCUGUCCUCCCACUCACCUUAGCUCUAUCAUACUUUUUUUUUAAUGCUAUGCAAUCUGACUUCCUUUGUCAAAUACUGUGGCCCCUUCCCCCCUUUGAAUCCUUCCUUCUCUGGGGGAUGAACUGAUUUUGCACCUUGUGCAUUAUUCCCAAGAAUACCUGCCAUUGCUGUUCCACUGUCUUUUCUGCUAGGCUAUCUGUCCAGUCAACUUUGGCCAGCUCCUCCCUCAUGACUCCAUAGUUUCCGCUGUUCAUCUGCAACACUGACACCUCUGAGCUGCCCUUAUCCUUCUCAAAUUGCAGAUAAAAGCUUAUCAUAUUGUGAUCACUACCUCCUAAUGGCUCCUUUACUGCGAGAUCGCUUAUCAAAUCCUGUUCAUUACAUAACACUAAAUCCAGAAUAGUCUUGUCCCUGGUCGGCUCUCGUACAAGCUGUUCCAAGAAUGCAUCCCGUAGGCACUCUACAAACUCCCUAUCCUGUGGUCCAGCACCAACCUGAUUCUCCCAGUUCACCUGCAUGUUGAAAUCCCCCAUAACUACUGCGACAUUACCUUUGCCACAUGCCAGUGUUAACUCCCUAUUCAACUUGCACCCAAUAUUCAUGCUACUGUUUGGUGGCCUGUAGACAACACCCAUUUGGGUCCUUUUGCCCUUACUGUUCCUCAGUUCUAUCCACACAGACUCUACUUCUCCUGACCCUAUGUCCCCCCUUGCAAAGGACUGAAUCUCAUUCCUCACCAACAGGGCCACCCCACCCCCUCUGCCCACAUUUCUGUCCCUAUGAUAGCACGUAUACCCUUGUACAUUCAUUUCCCAGGUCUGAUCUCCCUGCAGCCAUGUCUCCGUUAUCCCAACAGCAUCAUAGUUACCCAUUCGCACCUGGGCUUCAAGCUCAUCCGCCUUAAUUCUGACACUUCGUGCAUUCAGAUAUAGAAUUUUUAACCCAUUUCUCCUCUCUCUGUUUGAAUCGCUGCCUGAACUCCCAUUGGGCUAUAUGCCCCUAGAAUUUUGUUGUCCUUCCUAAAUUUACUUAUUCUUUCAACACAUUUAACUCCAUGUUCCGUCAGACCAUCCCUCUGUACAAGAGUCCUCCUUAUCACGUGUUCUGCCCCACCUUCCUCUACUACACACUUAAUAUUCCGGAACCGUGUAGUCCCCACCUGCCCUUUAUUCUUCCUCUUGCUAUCCUCCCUCGCAUUCUGGAUCCCCGCCCCUUCAGAUUUAGUUUAAACCCCUCCCCAAGAAGCACUAGCAAACUUCCCUGCAAGAAUGUUAGUACCACUCCAGUUCAGGUGUAAACCGUCCCUUUGGAACAGAUCCCACCUUCCCUGGAACAAAGCUCAAUUAUCUACAAACCUGAAGCCCUCCCUCCUGCACCAUCCUCUCAGCCACAUAUUAAUCUUUAUAAUCCUUCUGUUCCUUGCCUCACUCACACGUGGCACUGGUAGCAAUCCUGAGAUUGUUACCCUGGAGGAUGCUCAAAGGAAAGCAAUAAUGGAAAUGCUUUGCAGCAGUGUUUCUAUAGAAUUGGAAACUUAAGUGCUUCUGAGGGCAUUUUGUUUGUUUUAGGUUAAUUUCUGUUCAGUGUUGGUUCCUAGAAUGUUUAAGAUGGAGAACUGGUCAAUAAUGACAUUGACGAAUGUUAAGGAGAAAUGACUGGAUGACUCUUGUUGGAAGUUGUCAGUACUAGGGACAUGAAGGCCGAUGAUAUUAAUCAAAAACACAAGAGAUUCUGCAGAUGCUGGAUAUGCAGAGCAUAAUGCACAAAAUGUUGGAGGAACUCGGGAAGUCAGACUGCAUCCGGAAAUCAAUAAACAGUUGAUGUUUCAGGCUGAGAUUCUUCAUCAGGACUGAUGAACUGUAUGGAAUAUACUGUAGCAUUCCAGCCCUCCCAUUCUAGAUAA
This is a long non-coding RNA of Hypanus sabinus (Atlantic stingray), 5537 nucleotides long. RefSeq lists it as uncharacterized. Lineage: Eukaryota; Metazoa; Chordata; Chondrichthyes; Myliobatiformes; Dasyatidae. The record is from RefSeq and is a predicted model, not a curated record. The transcript is spliced from 3 exons.